GCCGAAACGCCCCCAAAGGGGCGUCCGCCGGGGAUGACCUCCCGGCGCUGAUGAUGGCAG
RNAcentral lists this non-coding RNA (60 nucleotides) under bovine gut metagenome. The record is from RNAcentral.